This 72-nucleotide transfer RNA is filed under the name Bacteriophage sp. RNAcentral's name for it is "tRNA-OTHER". It matches the Rfam family "tRNA". From Rfam's summary of the family: Transfer RNA (tRNA) molecules are approximately 80 nucleotides in length. Their secondary structure includes four short double-helical elements and three loops (D, anti-codon, and T loops). Further hydrogen bonds mediate the characteristic L-shaped molecular structure. tRNAs have two regions of fundamental functional importance: the anti-codon, which is responsible for specific mRNA codon recognition, and the 3' end, to which the tRNAs corresponding amino acid is attached (by aminoacyl-tRNA synthetases). tRNAs cope with the degeneracy of the genetic code in two manners: having more than one tRNA (with a specific anti-codon) for a particular amino acid; and 'wobble' base-pairing, i.e. permitting non-standard base-pairing at the 3rd anti-codon position. The record is from RNAcentral.
AAUAAUGUAGUUCAGUGGUAGAGCGUCUGCAAUUUGGCAGAAUGGCGGUGGUUCGAUUCCACCCUUUAUUGA